Molecule: ribosomal RNA, 145 nt
Filed under: Sarcocystis hirsuta
Lineage: Eukaryota; Apicomplexa; Conoidasida; Eucoccidiorida; Sarcocystidae
Description: partial 18S ribosomal RNA
Rfam family: Eukaryotic small subunit ribosomal RNA
Source: RNAcentral
UACGGCGAAACUGCGAAUGGCUCAUUAAAACAGUUAUAGUUUAUNUGAUAGUCAAUAAUAUACUACAUGGAUAACCGUGGUAAUUCUAUGGCUAAUACAUGCGCAAAUACUAUAUUAUGUCACUUAACGGGGGUUGAUAAGAUAG